This 300-nucleotide ribosomal RNA is filed under the name uncultured Ancylobacter sp. RNAcentral's name for it is "bacterial SSU rRNA". It matches the Rfam family "Bacterial small subunit ribosomal RNA", at positions 496 to 795 of the family's 1533-position model. The record is from RNAcentral. Lineage: Bacteria; Pseudomonadati; Pseudomonadota; Alphaproteobacteria; Hyphomicrobiales; Xanthobacteraceae.
GCUAACUUCGUGCCAGCAGCCGCGGUAAUACGAAGGGGGCUAGCGUUGUUCGGAAUCACUGGGCGUAAAGCGCACGUAGGCGGACCAUUAAGUCAGGGGUGAAAGCCUGGAGCUCAACUCCAGAACUGCCUUUGAUACUGAUGGUCUCGAGUAUGGAAGAGGUUGGUGGAACUGCGAGUGUAGAGGUGAAAUUCGUAGAUAUUCGCAAGAACACCGGUGGCGAAGGCGGCCAACUGGUCCAUUACUGACGCUGAGGUGCGAAAGCGUGGGGAGCAAACAGGAUUAGAUACCCUAGUAGUC